AUCGGCGGACUUCCUUAGGGUUCCAUAUCUCUGUAUUUUGCGUCUAUGCUCGGAGCUCUCAACGGUGAUCUUGUUGAUUUCUGUUGAACGCUGCCAGAGAAUGGAUCCGUGGACGUCUGAACCCGAUGUUCGUUCCUGUAAUUAUUCUGCUGUGCGAGUUUCGGCGGCGGAGUCUGGUGAAUGAUCCAGAUCUGAUAGGUACGAACGAAAUGAAGUCGGAUCUUGGAUCUCUUCCAUUCUGAACUCCUUCUGGAGCCGUGGCCGCUUGUCAUCGUCGUCUUGUGUGAUGUCUAUAUAAUCAAGACUUUGUUGAUCGUGUUUGAAGAAGCGAUGAAAGAGUCUGUUGAGACUUAUAUUCAUGUUCGAUUGAAGCAUUAACUCUGUAUAUUAAUAUAGAGCGCGUCGGAAAAGAUUAGUUUAGUGUUGCUCUGGAUGUGAAAGGUAUCGGGAGAACAUCCUCCUUGUGGGGGAUGAAGCUUUAUGUUUCUUUGUCAUCCGACCUUUGCCAUGACAGGUGCGCUUGCAUGGCAGGUCAUCGGAAAAAAAAUAAAAUAGCAUCGUUUUUGUUUUGAGGAAGAAGCCGCACGGGGUUUGCCCGGGGUUUCUUCCUCGUUGUUCUGUGUUUUCUUCUCGUUCUCUCUUACUCUCAGUUCGUCUAUCUUCAACCAACCGCCAUCAACUGCUUCUCGGAUUUCUCUGAUUUCGCGCCGUUUAAGCCAAGAUUGGGGAAAUUUCAACACUGCUUGCUCGCUAGCCAAGAUUAAUCGAGGAUUUUACAAGCUACUUGGCGUUGGAGAAUGGUUAUUGCUCGUGGGUGAAUGGAAGAUAAAAUCUGGAACAAGUAUCACUCGUCUCUGCCGAGUCUUUUCAUUAAUGGAAGGUCUUGUAUUAUUUCUGUUUUUCAUUCGCUUCUGAAUUCAGCAUUUUUUUCAAUAGUUGCAUUAUGCAGUGCUAAUUCUUUAUAUCUAUUGAGGUCUUUUUUUAGUAUGAUUACGUGAUUGGACAAAGUUUCUAUUUAGGGUUUAGGGUGGAUGGAUGUCUAAUUAAUUAUGUUUUCUCACUGAUUUGUCACCGAAGUUUGGAAUACUAUGUUCUAUUAUUACUCGAU
This 1108-nucleotide unclassified non-coding RNA is filed under the name Cucumis sativus (cucumber). Its description in RNAcentral is "CR20". Lineage: Eukaryota; Viridiplantae; Streptophyta; Magnoliopsida; Cucurbitales; Cucurbitaceae. The record is from RNAcentral.